CCAGUGGAACUAUGUCCUCUGCAGAUGAUCUAGAUGAAAGAGAGCCACCUUCCCCUUCAGAAACUGGACCCAAUUCCCUUGGAACAUUUAAGAAAACAUUGAUGUCAAAGGCAGCUCUCACACACAAGUUUCGCAAAUUGAGAUCCCCCACGAAAUGUAGGGAUUGUGAAGGCAUUGUAGUGUUCCAAGGUGUUGAAUGUGAAGAGGUAAGAUCUUUGUGGAAUUGUGUUGACCCUUUUAUGCUUUUUGUUUUAUACUUUUUUGUUUUUAAUUUUACUUUUUAGGAUCUUUUGCAAAUAUAUGUUUAAUAAAUUGUACUACAGUACACCUUCUAUAAUUUUAUAUUUUAUUUUGUUGUUAAAUCUGUUUCAAAUAGCGCAAGUAAUACCUCUUAAACUCAUUUUUGUUGUGUUACCUUCCACCUGCAGUUUGCCCAGUUGUGAAUAGUUUUAAGGUUAACCAGUUUCAAACUAUCAUUUUCUUGUAGUGUCUCCUUGUUUGUCAUCGAAAGUGUUUGGAAAAUUUAGUCAUUAUUUGUGGUCAUCAGAAACUUCCAGGAAAAAUACACUUAUUUGGAGCAGAAUUCACACAAGUUGCAAAAAAGGAACCAGAUGGUAUCCCUUUUAUACUCAAAAUAUGUGCCUCAGAGAUUGAAAAUAGAGCUUUGUGUCUACAGGGAAUUUAUCGUGUGUGUGGAAACAAAAUAAAAACUGAAAAAUUGUGUCAAGCUUUGGAAAAUGGAAUGCACUUGGUAGAUAUUUCAGAAUUUAGUUCACAUGAUAUCUGUGACGUCUUGAAAUUAUACCUUCGGCAGCUCCCAGAACCAUUUAUUUUAUUUCGAUUGUACAAGGAAUUUAUAGACCUUGCAAAAGAGAUCCAACAUGUAAAUGAAGAACAAG
This 899-nucleotide long non-coding RNA is filed under the name Homo sapiens (human). Its description in RNAcentral is "long non-coding RNA NONHSAT151949.1". Lineage: Eukaryota; Metazoa; Chordata; Mammalia; Primates; Hominidae. The record is from RNAcentral.